GCUAGAACAGUGACUAAGGUUCAGUGCAGGGUACUGGGUGGAGGUCGGCUAGAACAGUGACUAAGGUUCAGUGCAGGGUACUGGGUGGAGGUCGGCUAGAACAGUGACUAAGGUUCAGUGCAGGGUACUGGGUGGAGGUCGGCUAGAACAGUGACUAAGGUUCAUGGCAG
Molecule: long non-coding RNA, 170 nt
Organism: Oncorhynchus keta (chum salmon)
Lineage: Eukaryota; Metazoa; Chordata; Actinopteri; Salmoniformes; Salmonidae
Exons: 3
Source: RefSeq, a predicted model, not a curated record